This is a long non-coding RNA of Austrofundulus limnaeus, 1000 nucleotides long. RefSeq lists it as uncharacterized. The record is from RefSeq and is a predicted model, not a curated record. The transcript has 3 exons. NCBI's taxonomy places the organism in Eukaryota, Metazoa, Chordata, Actinopteri, Cyprinodontiformes, Rivulidae.
UACUAACAGCAGAGGAGACGACAACACGUGACAAUAGGUACUAACAGCAGAGGAGACGACAACACGUGACAACAUGUACUAACAGCAGAGGGAGACAACGUGACGUGACAACAUGUAGUAACAGCAGAGGGAGACAACAUGACCUGACAACAUGUAGUAACAGCAGAGGGAGACAACAUGAUGUGACAACAUUUAAUAGUAGAGGAGACAACAACACGUGACAACAUGUAGUAACAGCAGAGGAGACAACAACACGUGACAACAUGUAGUAACAGCAGAGGAGACAACAACACGUGACAACAUGUAGUAACAGCAGAGGAGACAAAAACACGUGACAACAUGUUGUAACAGCAGAAGAGAAAACACGUGACAACAUGUAGUAACAGCAGAGGAGACAACAUGACGUGACAACAAGUAGUAACAGCAGAAGAGAAAACACGUGACAACAUGUAGUAACAGCAGAGGAGACAACAUGACAUGACAACAGGUAGUAACAGCAGAGGAAUCAACAACAAGUGACAGCAUGUAGUACCAGCAGAGGAGACAACAACACUUGACCACAUGUAGUAACAGCAGAGGAGACCACAUGACAUGACAACAUGUAGUAACAGCCGAGGAGACAACAACAUGUGACAACAUGUAGGGUUCUGUGGAGGUUUGCUGCUGCUGUUUCCUGACUAAUUGUUUUGCAGUUCAUUGAGAGUUCGGUGGGCGGAGACUGGAUGGACUCACCUGUGCAUUGUCUGCUCUGAUUAGUCCUGAGAGUAUUUCAGUUGCCUUCUGAAAUCCAUCCGACGCUGGAUUAUUCAGUUGCCCAUGGCUGGACCGUCCUGAUCCCCCUGGUGACUCCACGAAAUCUGCAAAAGACAUAUUGGAAAUUACCUGUGUUUGAUUCCCAACAAAGAACCUCUACAAACCUCCUCGUCCUGGUCAGCCUCCUCGCCUGGAUCCUCAAGAAACUUGAACCCAUUCACUGUACAAUAAACUCACUUACCUUUUA